CGCGGCCGCAGAGUUUGAUCAUGGCUCAGAUUGAGCGCUGGCGGCAUGCCUUACACAUGCAAGUCGAACGGCAGCACGGGGGCAACCCUGGUGGCGAGUGGCGAACGGGUGAGUAAUAUAUCGGAACGUGCCCUGGAGUGGGGGAUAACGUAGCGAAAGUUACGCUAAUACCGCAUACGAUCUACGGAUGAAAGUGGGGGAUUCGCAAGAACCUCACGCUCCUGGAGCGGCCGAUAUCUGAUUAGCUAGUUGGUGGGGUAAAAGCCUACCAAGGCGACGAUCAGUAGCUGGUCUGAGAGGACGACCAGCCACACUGGGACUGAGACACGGCCCAGACUCCUACGGGAGGCAGCAGUGGGGAAUCUUGGACAAUGGGCGCAAGUCUGAUCCAGCCAUGCCGCGGGAGUGAAGAAGGCCUUAGGGUUGUAAAGCUCUUUUGCCAGGGACGAUAAUGACGGUACCUGGAGAACAAGCCCCGGCAAACUUCGUGCCAGCAGCCGCGGUAAUACGAAGGGGGCUAGCGUUGUUCGGAUUUACUGGGCGUAAAGCGCACGUAGGCGGAUUGUUAAGUCAGGGGUGAAAUCCCGGAGCUCAACUCCG
RNAcentral lists this ribosomal RNA (600 nucleotides) under uncultured Alphaproteobacteria bacterium. RNAcentral describes it as "bacterial SSU rRNA". It matches the Rfam family "Bacterial small subunit ribosomal RNA", at positions 1 to 617 of the family's 1533-position model. Lineage: Bacteria; Pseudomonadati; Pseudomonadota; Alphaproteobacteria. The record is from RNAcentral.